GAUGAACGCUAGCGGCAGGCUUAACACAUGCAAGUCGAGGGCAGCAUGACGAAACCUUCGGUUUCUGCUUUAGUGGCGAACGGGUGAGUAACGCGUGAGAAACCUGCCUCUCAGUGGGGACAACAGUUGGAAACGACUGCUAAUACCGCAUAACACUUUAGUACCGCAUGGUACAGAAGUCAAAGCUUAAUGUGCUGAGAGAUGGUCUCGCGUCUGAUUAGCUAGUUGUGGGGUAACGGCCCACCAAGGCGACGAUCAGUAGCCGGUCUGAGAGGAUGAACGGCCACAUUGGGACUGAGAUACGGCCCAGACUCCUACGGGAGGCAGCAGUGGGGAAUAUUGGGCAAUGGGGGAAACCCUGACCCAGCAACGCCGCGUGAAGGAAGAAGGUCUUCGGAUCGUAAACUUCUAUCCUUGGUGAAGAUAAUGACGGUAGCCAAGAAGGAAGCCCCGGCUAACUACGUG
This 465-nucleotide ribosomal RNA is filed under the name uncultured bacterium. RNAcentral describes it as "bacterial SSU rRNA". It matches the Rfam family "Bacterial small subunit ribosomal RNA", at positions 28 to 507 of the family's 1533-position model. The record is from RNAcentral.